UAUUACCUAUUAUUUACUAUCAUAUUAUUAUUAUUAUUUAUUAGUUAGAUUAGAUUAUUCCAAUACACGUGUACCCUACCGCUAAUGACGUAUCCACUAAAGUAUUUUAUAAUUAUUGUUAAAAAAUACACUCUGUUUCUAACAGGAACAACAAAACAAUAAUAAUAACGCAGUCAACAGAUAUCGCACAUGACGUGUUAAAACGCAAAACAAAACAGUAGCCACUAGUCAUAAAACUAGAAUAUUCAUGACGUAUAUUGUCACACCUCACACGAUAGUGGCUCAGCAGUUUUGUGUUAUACUUAUAACAUAUUGGUAGUUGUUGUAGUAGGCACUUAGGAAACAAGGCCUGAAAGAAAUUGUUGAAAUAAAAAUAUGGUAAAAUGUUCAGGAAACCCAACCCCUAUCAGAAGUAAAAUAUAAUAUCACAAUUAUUUACAAUGCAGAAUGCAGAUUACAGCUAUACUUGUAUAAUAUUACAAUGUGAAGUCGAAGUUAUAUAUCUACAGCCGUUAUCUUAUAUAAAAUGUCUUAAAUAAUAUAAGUGUCUUAUGGAGUAAUAAUAUUAAGUGACAAUUGAAGCAGUAAUACAAUAAUAUAUAAUAGGCAUAUAAAAUGGCAAUAACCAAUAAGAAAAAAAAUUCACGGAAAAAAUUGUCUUAAAUUCCAAUAAUGAUUUGUUUAAUAACACACAUCGGACAAUUACCUAGCGUGAAUGAGUUUGGCAGACCGGGAUUCUCGUACCAAAACCGAUCGCCCUUUUUCAAAUCACUGAACGUCUUGGCUAUGAUACAUCCAAACGUCGGUCCCACGAUGCUGUCAUCGAUAGA
This is a long non-coding RNA of Aphis gossypii (cotton aphid), 830 nucleotides long. RefSeq lists it as uncharacterized. The transcript has 5 exons. NCBI's taxonomy places the organism in Eukaryota, Metazoa, Arthropoda, Insecta, Hemiptera, Aphididae. The record is from RefSeq and is a predicted model, not a curated record.